AAUAGCCUAACGGCUGAACCAGCAACUUGGAGGAAUGUAUAGCUAAGCUAUAUGUUUUUGUAAAAAAAACAUAUUCGAUUUACUCGUAUAAAGUUCUAGGUAGAGUUAUGAUAAUGACAUUAUCUAUCUAUAUGUCUUGACAAACAUGCGUGCCAGCAGUCGCGGUAAGACGCUAAAGACUAGUGUUAUUCAUCUUUAAUGGGUUUAAAGGGUACCUAGACGGUAAAUAAAGCCUUAACCGGGACUAAUUUAACUAGAGUUAAAGGUAAGGGUGCAUUAACGUACUAUUGAGUGGAGAGAUGAAAUUCUUUGAUACCAGAUUACUGGCACGGGUAUAGGCGAAAGCAUCGCUUUAUGUAAUAACUGACGUUGAGGGACGAAGGCUUUGUAUCGCUAAAAGGAUUAGAGACCCAAGUAGUCUAAGCAGAAAAUGAUGAGUGUCAUAGGUUAAAUAUUAUUUAGUCUAUAAAUGAAAGUGUAAGCAUUCCACCUCAAGAGUAAUUUGGCAACAUUGGAAUUGAAAUCAUUAGACCGUUUCUGAAACCAGUAGUGAAGUAUGUUGUUUAAUUAGAUAAUGCACAAAGAACCUUACCACAAGUAAACACAUUUGAAUAUUUUACCGGUGUUGCACGGCUGUUUUUAGUUAAUGUCGUGAGAUAGAGGUUCACUCCUAUAAAUUAACGGAAACCCUUACUUUAUUUUUUUAUAUAAAGUAGUUCGCCGCUAUAUGGGUGAGAWAAAAGGGA
This 746-nucleotide ribosomal RNA is filed under the name Leptogium ethiopicum. RNAcentral's name for it is "SSU rRNA". The record is from RNAcentral. Lineage: Eukaryota; Fungi; Ascomycota; Lecanoromycetes; Peltigerales; Collemataceae.